GGAAUGGAGGGGCAGGCCUGUGAGGGGGAACAGGAUCUGGAGCAUGGGGCAAUGGCAGAACUGGGGCAUGGAGCAAAGGUGGGCCUGGACCAUGGAGAAGAUCCAGAGGAGCAUGGAGCCAUGGCAGAGCCGGCAGAGCAGGGGGCCAUGGUGGAGCAGGCAGAGCAGGGAUCCAUGGCAGAGCAGGCAGAGCAGGGAGCCAUGGCGGAGCAGGCAGAGCAGGACGGCCAAGUGGUACUGGCAGAGCAGGAAGCCAAGGCGGAGACGAGACAUGGAUGGACCACUUGACUGUGACAGAGCAGGCAGAGAGUUCUUGAAUGGCCAUCUUGGCCAUGACAGGACAGACAGUGAGUUCAUGCACAGCCUCCUUGGCCAUGACAGGACAAGCAAUGAGUUCAUGAACGGCCUCCUUGGCCAAAACGGGACAGACAUUGAGUUCAUGAGCAGCCUCCAUGGCUGUGGCAGGACAGACAGUGAGUUCAUGAAUGGCCUCCUUGGCCAUGGCAGGACAGACAAUGAGUUAAUGAAAGGCCUCUUUGGCCAUGGUAGGGCAGACAGUGAGUUCAAGAUCGGCCACCUCGGGAGGUUCUGCAGUGGCUGCAGACACCUCUGGAGGUUCUGCAGUGGAUGCCGCCACCUCUAAAGGCACUGGAGCAGAUUCGUGGACAGAAGAGGUCCCUGGAGCAGACUCGUGGACAGGAGAGGCCUCUGGGGCAGACUCAAGGACAGGGGAGGCCUCAGAAGUGCACUGCAAACACUAAGGAUGGCUACCGCCAUCAAGGGUAGUGCAGUAGACAGUGGCAUGCUCUCUGGGCUUGAGUGUGUUGAGCCUGUGAGGCUUGAAAGUGUAGAGACCACUGGGAUGCCAGCCACUCGUACUGACAUCAGUGGUGGAUCCAACACACUGGCAAUCAGUCUUUUCGGUCCUGCCCCAAGCUCCACAUCCUUGGGAGCUUGGGUAAUACAGAUCCACUCAACCGUAAAACAAAGUCAAUAUACUGCUCAAGAGUCCAGUGAGGAGUAUUGCGUGGCAUUAAACUUGAUAUGUCCUUAAUUAAACCAAAACGAAAAAAUUAUUUUAAGAAAGUUUCAUUGAAGUCC
This is a long non-coding RNA of Cyprinus carpio carpio, 1101 nucleotides long. NCBI's taxonomy places the organism in Eukaryota, Metazoa, Chordata, Actinopteri, Cypriniformes, Cyprinidae. The record is from Ensembl.